RNAcentral lists this ribosomal RNA (253 nucleotides) under uncultured bacterium. RNAcentral's name for it is "partial 16S ribosomal RNA". It matches the Rfam family "Bacterial small subunit ribosomal RNA", at positions 524 to 776 of the family's 1533-position model. The record is from RNAcentral.
UACGAAGGGGGCUAGCGUUGCUCGGAAUCACUGGGCGUAAAGCGUCUGUAGGUGGUUUAAUAAGUCAACUGUUAAAUCUUGAGGCUCAACCUCAAAAUCGCAGUCGAAACUAUUAGGCUAGAGUAUAGUAGGGGUAAAGGGAAUUUCCAGUGGAGCGGUGAAAUGCGUAGAGAUUGGAAAGAACACCGAUGGCGAAGGCACUUUACUGGGCUAUUACUAACACUCAGAGACGAAAGCUAGGGUAGCAAAUGGG